This 232-nucleotide unclassified non-coding RNA is filed under the name Ascomycota sp. RNAcentral's name for it is "partial contains small subunit ribosomal RNA, internal transcribed spacer 1, and 5.8S ribosomal RNA". The stretch from base 1 to 47 matches the Rfam family "Eukaryotic small subunit ribosomal RNA", at positions 1785 to 1831 of the family's 1831-position model. The record is from RNAcentral. Lineage: Eukaryota; Fungi; Ascomycota.
AAAGUCGUAACAAGGUUUCCGUAGGUGAACCUGCGGAAGGAUCAUUAAAAUGUGGCAGCAAGCAGUUGUGCGAAGAUGAACCACCCUUGCCUUUACAAGCACCCGCAUAUGUUUUCCUCGGCGGCCUACCAUGGCCGCCAACAGAAACCAACCAAACGCUUUGCAAUGAGCAGUGACAGUCUGAUACACCUUUAACUCAUCACAACUUUCAACGAUGGAUCUCUUGGCUCUG